This 88-nucleotide transfer RNA is filed under the name Quisquiliibacterium transsilvanicum. RNAcentral's name for it is "tRNA-Leu". It matches the Rfam family "tRNA". From Rfam's summary of the family: Transfer RNA (tRNA) molecules are approximately 80 nucleotides in length. Lineage: Bacteria; Pseudomonadati; Pseudomonadota; Betaproteobacteria; Burkholderiales; Burkholderiaceae. The record is from RNAcentral.
GCCCCGAUGGCGGAAUUGGCAGACGCACCGGACUUAAAAUCCGGAGCCCGAAAAGGGCGUGCGGGUUCGAAACCCGCUCGGGGCACCA